Molecule: ribosomal RNA, 450 nt
Filed under: uncultured bacterium
Lineage: Bacteria
Description: partial 16S ribosomal RNA
Rfam family: Bacterial small subunit ribosomal RNA
Source: RNAcentral
GUGGGGAAUAUUGGACAAUGGGCGAAAGCCUGAUCCAGCCAUGCCGCGUGUGUGAAGAAGGUCUUCGGAUUGUAAAGCACUUUAAGUUGGGAGGAAGGGCAGUAAGUUAAUACCUUGCUGUUUUGACGUUACCGACAGAAUAAGCACCGGCUAACUUCGUGCCAGCAGCCGCGGUAAUACGAAGGGUGCAAGCGUUAAUCGGAAUUACUGGGUGUAAAGCGCGCGUAGGUGGUUUUGUAAGUUGGAGGUGAAAUCCCCGGGCUAAACCUGGGAACUGCCUCCAAAACUGCAUGACUAGAGGACGGUAGAGGGGAGGGGAAUUUCCUGUGUAGCGGUGAAAUGCGUAGAUAUAGGAAGGAACACCAGUGGCGAAGGCGACUACCUGGACUGAUACUGACACUGAGGUGCGAAAGCGUGGGGAGCAAACAGGAUUAGAAACCCUUGUAGUCC